CUCUUUUCGACCCACUGCCGCCUUUCCGUUGGGCCACUGCCGCGUCCGUCCGUCGAGCUGGGCCGCUGUCCGUCCGUGUAGCCACUGCCCCCAAAUCUCCAACCCCCCUGCUCUCUUCUUCCGCGAGCUCGCCCCAUCCCCUACUCUUUGCAUCUUCUCGCCAUCGGCUUCAUCUUCUUGCCGUCGUCUGGUCGGCGUCGUCCAUCAAUCAAGGUCUGUCGGCGCCGUCUUCGAAGUAGCAUGCUUGUCCAAGAUCCUACCAAAGGUACCAAUGUGGAUGAUAUUUUUUAUCAAGCGAGACAGUCAACUGUUGAUCCACCUUCUGAAAAUACAUCAAGAUUUAUCAAGAAUGUAUCAAAGUGAAUGACUUAAGCAGAGAAACCACGGAGAGCAAAAAGCAGCUCUUUCCAAUGAAUUCAAUAUUUCAACACUCUUCUCCGCCACGUUCAACUGCCACCAUUACCACCCUUCUCAAGGCCUGCAAGACCAUUCAUCACCUCUACCAAGUCCACGCCUCCAUCAUCCAACGAGGCCUAGAGCAAGAUCACCUUAUCAUCUCCCGCUUCAUUUCCAUUUCCGCCUCCUUUGCCGCCACUGCUUCAUAUUACACCGCCGUCUUUGACUGCGUCCUUAGCCCUUCUCCUUUCCUAUGGAACUCCCUCAUCGGAGCCCACACCAAAGGAAGUUAUUUUUUUGACACCCUCUCUACUUUUAUUCGCAUGAAAGCACAUGGGUCUCUUCCCGAUAGGUACACUUACUCUUCUGUGAUUAAGGCCUGUUCAAGCAUGUCUAGGUCCUGGGAAGGAAAAUUGCUCCAUGGCUCGGCAUUGAGGUGUGGGGUUGAAGGUAAUAUGUUUGUUGGAACCUGUUUGGUCGAUAUGUAUGGGAAAUGUGGAAAGAUUGGUGACGCUCGCAAGGUGUUUGAUGGAAUGUGUGAGAAGAAUGUAGUUUCAUGGACGGCUAUAGUGGUUGGCUAUGUGAAGGAUGGGGAUAUGGUGGAGGCAAAGAGGCUGUUUGAUGAAAUGCCUCAGAGGAAUGUGACAUCAUGGAAUGUGAUGAUAUGGGGUUUUGUGAAGGUGGGGGAUUUGGGCAAUGCUAGGGUAGUGUUUGAUGCUAUGCCAAAAAAGAGUGUUGUUUCUUUCACGAUCAUGAUUGAUGGCUAUGCAAAGGCUGGUGACAUGGCUACCUCAAGGUUCUUGUUCGACCAAGCUCCGGAAAAGGAUAUUGUUGCAUGGUCUACUUUGAUAUCAGGGUAUGUACAGAAUGGUCAACCUAACAGGGCCUUGAGAGUAUUUCUUGAGAUGGAGUCAAUGAACGUGAAACCUGAUGAAUUCAUAUUGGUUAGCUUGAUGUCGGCUUCUUCUCAGUUGGGUAAUUUAGAACUGGCUCGAUGGGUUGAUUCUUAUGUAAACAAGAGCUCUAUUGAUAUGAAACAGGACCACGUGAUUGCAGCGCUUCUGGAUAUGAAUGCUAAAUGUGGAAACAUGGAAAGGGCAUUAAAAUUAUUUGAAGAAAUGCCUAACCGUGAUCUAGUCUCAUAUUGUUCGAUGAUACAAGGGUUGUCAAUUCAUGGAUUCGAGGAAGAUGCACUGAAGUUCUUUAACAGGAUGGUGACGGAUGGGCUAACUCCGGAUGAGGUGGCCUUCAAAAUCAUUCUAACAGCUUGUAGUCAUGCGGGACUUGUUGAUGAGGGCUGGAACUACUUUCGCUCUAUGAAGGAAAAGUACUGUGUUAGUCCUUCACCUGAUCACUAUGCAUGUAUGGUUGACCUUCUAAGUCGAUCAGGGCAUUUACGGGAUGCCUAUGAGCUUAUAAAAGUAAUGCCGGUGGAAUCUCAUGCUGCUGCCUGGGGUGCACUUCUUGGGGCAUGUAAAGCAUACGGUGAUUCAGAGUUAGGAGAGAUUGCUGCUAAUCAACUUUUUGAGAUUGAACCUCAAAAUGCUGCUAACUAUGUGCUGUUGUCUAACAUCUAUGCAGCAGCGGAUCGAUGGAUAGAUGUUUCCCUUGUAAGAACGAAGAUGAGGAACAGUAGGGUGCGAAAGGUACCUGGUUGCAGUCAGUUUAAUCCAGACUUGGGCUCUUUGGCCUUUUAAGCUUCCAAAAUUGCAUAUAUGAAGCUGUAAAUUUGAAAAUUCUGUGCGGAAGCUAAGCUGCUAAACAUCGUAGACCAAGAAUAAGUUCUGAUAAAGGUCAUGGCUGAUCCAACCUCACCUGCUCCUCAAAAGGGUCAAUCCUCAUCUUCUGAUCAGUGGAUCUUGAAAGAGUUGUAAGGGACACUCAUGGUUAUAUAGGAGCAGACCUUGAAUAAGAGAUUUUAUUCUGCAGUGUAUAAGAGAGAAGAUGGAUGUGAUUGACUUGGAGGAUGAAUUGAGUGAUAUUGAGAUUUUGAAUUCUAUGGUUGUCACCAAUGAGCACUUCCAAACUGCUUUGACUUCUUCAAACCCAUCUGUGUUGUGUGCAAAAGUUCCAAAUGUUUCCUAUGAUGAUAUUGGAGGUCUGGAGAAUGUUAAAAGGGAGCUUCAAGAGAUUUUCCUGCAAGAAUCUAUGUCCCUAAAUUCAGCAUACAAGUCAACCAGAGUUCUGCCAACCACCAUAUCAACGUCGGCACCAAACUUAAACACCAGCCCAUGAACUUCCCUAACCUAGUCCAACAACGAAUAACACUUGAACAAGCCAAUAAAAGUACUGUGAUCAGGUCUUAAGAAAUGAACCUCCUCAUUUCACUAAACAACCUCUUCACCACACCAAAUUUACCAACUUGAGCAAAUCCAGAAACCAUUACAUUCCAAGCAACAAGGUCCCUCUCCAACAAUUCAUGAAAGACACAACAAGCAACACAUAUACAUAUUAAGAGAGCUCCCAGCAAACUUGUCCCUCUCAAGGCCACACCGAACCAACACCAUGAAGCUGCAAACCAACAUCCCUCAAACCAGGAUCAGCACAAGCACGGAGCAGUGCAGAUAACGUGUACUCAUUGGGACUCUCACCAACCUCACGCAUGUGAUUGAACAUGUCAAAGGCUUUUGGGAGAUACCCAUUUCUAAGAUUUGCAGAAAUUAAGGUUGUCCAAGUGAUAACGUUCUUGUGGGGCAUUUGGUCGAACAGGUGGUGGGUAUAGCUGAAUUGGCCACAUUUGGAAUAAAGGCUCAAAAGGUUAUUUGCCAAAUGCGUCUGCGAGAUGCAUUGGGUGACUAAAAGCUUUGCAUGAAUUUGUUUGCACUCUGCGAGCGUUGUGGGGUUUGAAGACUUCGCCAAUGACAACAAAAACUGGUGAAGAUGUUUAACUCAUUGUGAUUGGAUUGUAACAAAUUAAGUUCUUAUUGGUUUUACACAAAAACCUAGAGAACAAGAUAUUACCAUAUCAUGGUUUAAUAAUAACAUAGACACAGUUAAUUUCGUCCAAAAAUAACUGUCAUUUUUUAUGUAUCUAGUCACGAAUGGAAUAGAUAUAUAUAUAAAAAUACGAUAGUUUUUUUUGGAUGGAAAAUAUGUUGUUGAAGCUUCUUAAAUUUAUUUUACUUGAAUAUGAUGGUUUUGAUUCCAUGAUUUUUUGACAUGAUCAUGAACUAUCCAAUGUAUAUGCUACUUAUAGUCUUA
Molecule: RNA transcript, 3597 nt
Organism: Arachis stenosperma
Lineage: Eukaryota; Viridiplantae; Streptophyta; Magnoliopsida; Fabales; Fabaceae
Gene name: putative pentatricopeptide repeat-containing protein At5g37570
Exons: 7
Source: RefSeq, a predicted model, not a curated record